UACGGGGGGGGCAAGCGUUGUUCGGAAUUACUGGGCGUAAAGGGCUCGUAGGCGGCCAACUAAGUCAGACGUGAAAUCCCUCGGCUUAACCGGGGAACUGCGUCUGAUACUGGAUGGCUUGAGUUCGGGAGAGGGAUGCGGAAUUCCAGGUGUAGCGGUGAAAUGCGUAGAUAUCUGGAGGAACACCGGUGGCGAAGGCAGCUUGCUGGGACGGUACUGACGCUGAGGCGCGAAAGCGUGGGGAGCAAACAGG
This 253-nucleotide ribosomal RNA is filed under the name uncultured bacterium. RNAcentral describes it as "partial 16S ribosomal RNA". It matches the Rfam family "Bacterial small subunit ribosomal RNA", at positions 524 to 776 of the family's 1533-position model. The record is from RNAcentral.